Molecule: ribosomal RNA, 573 nt
Filed under: Curvularia australiensis
Lineage: Eukaryota; Fungi; Ascomycota; Dothideomycetes; Pleosporales; Pleosporaceae
Description: eukaryotic LSU rRNA
Rfam family: 5.8S ribosomal RNA (bases 194-347)
Source: RNAcentral
UUCCGUAGGUGAACCUGCGGAGGGAUCAUUACACAAUAAAAUACGAAGGCCGUUCGCGGCUGGACUAUUUAUUACCCUUGUCUUUUGCGCACUUGUUGUUUCCUGGGCGGGUUCGCUCGCCACCAGGACCACAAUAUAAACCUUUUUUAUGCAGUUGCAAUCAGCGUCAGUAUAACAAAUGUAAAUCAUUUACAACUUUCAACAACGGAUCUCUUGGUUCUGGCAUCGAUGAAGAACGCAGCGAAAUGCGAUACGUAGUGUGAAUUGCAGAAUUCAGUGAAUCAUCGAAUCUUUGAACGCACAUUGCGCCCUUUGGUAUUCCAAAGGGCAUGCCUGUUCGAGCGUCAUUUGUACCCUCAAGCUUUGCUUGGUGUUGGGCGUUUUUGUCUUUGGCCCGCCAAAGACUCGCCUUAAAAUGAUUGGCAGCCGGCCUACUGGUUUCGCAGCGCAGCACAUUUUUGCGCUUGCAAUCAGCAAAAGAGGACGGCAAUCCAUCAAGACUCCUUCUCACGUUUGACCUCGGAUCAGGUAGGGAUACCCGCUGAACUUAAGCAUAUCAAUAAGCGGAGGAAA